CGCAAAAUUAAACCAUAUAUAAUUUCUGACAUUUAAAGUGUCAAAUGUAUGACUGACAUUUAAAGUGAAACAAAACCAGCUAAAUCGAUUUCCAAUGGUGAUUUACACCGUCGGUCGCCAUAGCUAUUACCUUCACAGCUGCUCAUAACAUUCAUAUCAAAGCGACCAGCGAAACCUAGCUGCUGUUGCUAUUUCUCCCUCGCCGGCGGCUUCUCUCCCCUCGUUUAGCCAUCUGCUGCAGCGGCAAAAGGUACUAAGGGCUCAUUCCUUAUUUGGAAGAAUUUGCAAAAGUUUUCAAAGAUUUUGUUUCACUGAUAAAUAUAUUUGAAACUUCUUCAGAUUUUUUUGGUUGUGGUAUAUUUUGAAAAAAGUUUGUAAAGCACAUAUAAAUAAAGAACAUCUGCAAAGAGGCCUUUCAUGACCUUAGCUAAAAAUAAGCGCGCAGUUCCCUAUUUGUUUUCUCAUUAAGAGGAAAAUGAUUAGGAUUGAGUUUAAUUGCAAUUUACAAAUAAAAGUCUAGAGUAUGAAUUAAUAAGUUCUUUGCAUUAUUUAAAGUUUGGUUCAAAUAAAAACUACCUGUUCGGUGUUUUCACCAAAAACAAAUGCAAGACAUGUAUCUUAUAUUCACUAAUGGUUAAGUGAUAUGAAUCUUUCAUCACUCAUGAUUAAGUGAUAUGUAUCUUAAGUUGCAUAAUUUGGUAUAAACAUCAGAGUGGAAAUAAGUAUUUGUCGUAGGAAACAACAUAAGAUUUUGUUAACUAAACCCUCGAUCGGUGCUAGAUAUAUAAACCCAUAGAAAUUAAGUCGCUAGUAUUUGUUUUCUGUUAUAUUAUGGAGUUUCCAUUCAACAUUAGGCACCAUAUCUCUCAGCAAAUUUAGGAGGUUAGAUUUUCAAGCCUGUCUCCUAGGGAGUAUCCGAUAUAUAUAGAGAAGAUUUCAACCCUGGUAGACAGCUAGAAUUUUUCAUUUAUAACGAGCAUGUCAUUUAUUGAUACUUGCAAAGUCUUGUAAAUUUUGAUAAGCUUGGAUGUUAUUUAAAUAUAUGCAGAGACAAUUGAAAUAACAAGAUCAUGGCUUUCUUCCGGGCAUUCUGGAACAGUCCCGUUGGCCCUAAAACAACUCACUUCUGG
RNAcentral lists this long non-coding RNA (1130 nucleotides) under Nicotiana tabacum (common tobacco). RNAcentral's name for it is "long non-coding RNA (NTAB_LNC008173)". Lineage: Eukaryota; Viridiplantae; Streptophyta; Magnoliopsida; Solanales; Solanaceae. The record is from RNAcentral.